AUGGUGGUCACGGAGUAUAUUUCCAAAGGAGAUCUAAGUACCAUCCUUCACAAGGAUAGCAUUCCCAUCACUUUGGAUACACGGCUAAGAAUUGCCAUUGAAUGUGCAGAAGCAUUGGCCUAUAUGCAUUCACAAAUGUAUACUCAGGUCAUUCACGGUGAUAUCAAGCCUGCUAAUAUACUUCUGGAUGAUGGACUCAGAGCAAAAAUAUCAGACUUUGGAAUAUCAAGACUAGUCAACACUGAAAAUACUCUCUAUACUGUAAAUAAUAUAGGAAGUAUCGGCUACAUGGACCCUCUGUUUGCUCAGAAUGGUCGCCUCACAGCAAAGAGUGAUGUUUAUAGUUUUGGAAUUGUACUCCUGGAACUGAUCACUAGAAAGGAAGCAAAAACAGAGGGUGGAGAGAUUGGCUUGGUUGAAAGUUUUCUUCGGUCUCUUUCAAAAGGGGUUAGGAGGGCGAGGGAGAUGUUUGAUCCUGAAAUCACAACAUCAAGUGAUAUGAAGACUAUUGAAGGGAUUGCUAAGUUGGCAGGUAAAUGCUUGAAGAUGGAGCUUGACAAACGUCCUGAGAUGUUAGAAGUUGCAGAGCGUCUUCACAAACUUAGAAAAGCUCCUCGUCAGGUACAAGGAAAACUUGCUCUGUUUUCUUGGGGAAAGAGAAAUAAAUUAGCGCCAGCUGAAACACCACCAAUUGAAAGCAGCAGCAGUACCCGAAACGUGGUAACUUAUAUUGAUAGGUUGACACCGAGAGGCCACCCCGCAAAAAAAAAAGAAGACACCGAGAGGCCAAUCGUUCGAGCUGGAUGA
This 807-nucleotide ribosomal RNA is filed under the name Triticum aestivum (bread wheat). Its description in RNAcentral is "partial small subunit ribosomal RNA". The record is from RNAcentral. Lineage: Eukaryota; Viridiplantae; Streptophyta; Magnoliopsida; Poales; Poaceae.